RNAcentral lists this ribosomal RNA (492 nucleotides) under uncultured bacterium. RNAcentral's name for it is "partial 16S ribosomal RNA". It matches the Rfam family "Bacterial small subunit ribosomal RNA", at positions 29 to 507 of the family's 1533-position model. The record is from RNAcentral.
AUUGAACGCUGGCGGCAUGCCUUACACAUGCAAGUCGAACGGUAACAGGCCUUCCGGUGCUGACGAGUGGCGCACGGGUGAGUAAUGCAUCGGAACGUGCCCAGAGGUGGGGGGUAACGCAGCGAAAGCUGUGCUAAUACCGCAUGUGAACUGAGGAUUAGAGCGGGGGACCGGGCAGCAAUGUUUGGCCUCGCGCCUUUGGAGCGGCCGAUGUCGGCUUAGGUAGUUGGUGGGGUAAAGGCCUACCACGGCGACGAUCUGUAGCUGGUCUGAGAGGGCGACCAGACAGACUGGCACUGAGACACGGCCCAGACUCCUACGGGAGGCAGCAGUGGGGAAUCUUGCACAAUGGGGGCAAGCCUGAUACAGCAAUGCCGCGGGCGGGAAGAAGGCCUUCGGGUUGUAAAGCGCUUUUGUACGGAACGAAAAGGAUCUGGCUAAUACCUGAGGCUGAUGACGGUACCGGAAGAAUAAGCACCGGCUAACUACGUG